GCUGGCGUAGCUCAACUGGUAGAGCAGCUGAUUUGUAAUCAGCAGGUUAGGGGUUCAAGUCCCUCCGCCAGCUCCA
This 76-nucleotide transfer RNA is filed under the name Acidobacteria bacterium CG_4_9_14_3_um_filter_49_7. RNAcentral's name for it is "tRNA-Thr". It matches the Rfam family "tRNA". Rfam says of the family: Transfer RNA (tRNA) molecules are approximately 80 nucleotides in length. Their secondary structure includes four short double-helical elements and three loops (D, anti-codon, and T loops). The record is from RNAcentral. RNAcentral also lists the same sequence under 3 other names. Lineage: Bacteria; Pseudomonadati; Acidobacteriota.